UUCCCGUGAAGAGGCGGGAAUGCAUAAAUAAGACGAGAAGACCCUAUGGAGCUUUAACUAACCAACCCAAAGAAAAUAAAUUUAACCAUUGAGGAACAACAACAAUCUCCAUGAGUUGGUAGUUUCGGUUGGGGUGACCUCGGAGAAUAAAAAAUCCUCCGAACGAUUUUAAAGACUAGACCCACAAGUCAAAUCACUCUAUCGCUCAUUGAUCCAAAAAUUUGAUCAACGGAACAAGUUACCCUA
RNAcentral lists this ribosomal RNA (246 nucleotides) under Bos grunniens (domestic yak). RNAcentral's name for it is "partial 16S rRNA". Lineage: Eukaryota; Metazoa; Chordata; Mammalia; Artiodactyla; Bovidae. The record is from RNAcentral.